RNAcentral lists this ribosomal RNA (339 nucleotides) under uncultured Pseudomonadota bacterium. Its description in RNAcentral is "bacterial SSU rRNA". It matches the Rfam family "Bacterial small subunit ribosomal RNA", at positions 29 to 351 of the family's 1533-position model. Lineage: Bacteria; Pseudomonadati; Pseudomonadota. The record is from RNAcentral.
AAUUAACGCUGGCGGCAUGCCUAACACAUGCAAGUCGCACGAGAAAGCCCCUUUCGGGGGGCAAGUAAAGUGGCGCACGGGUGAGUAACGCGUGGAUAAUCUACCUCGUUCUGGGGGAUAACCCAUCGAAAGGUGGGCUAAUACCGCAUAAUCCGGCUGAAUUUUGGUUUGGCCGGCAAAGGUGGCCUCUUCAUGAAAGCUACCGGGAAGAGAUGAGUCCGCGUCCCAUUAGCUUGUUGGUAGGGUAACGGCCUACCAAGGCGACGAUGGGUAGCUGGUCUGAGAGGACGAUCAGCCACACUGGAACUGGUACACGGUCCAGACUCCUACGGGAGGCAG